GCUAUUUAGGUUAGAGUUUGAUCCUGGCUCAGGACGAACGCUGGCGGCGUGCUUAACACAUGCAAGUCAAGGGGGCCCAGCAAUGGGCAACCGGCGAACGGGUGCGUAACACGUGAGCAACCUACCGAAAUGCGGGGGAUAGCCGGCCUAACGGCCGAGUAAUACCGCAUACGCUCUUUAUGAGGCAUUUCAUGGAGAGGAAACCUACGGGGUAUUUCGAGGGGCUCGCGGCCUAUCAGCUAGUUGGCGAGGUAACGGCUCACCAAGGCAACGACGGGUAGCUGGUCUGAGAGGAUGGCCAGCCACAUUGGGACUGAGAUACGGCCCAGACUCCUACGGGAGGCAGCAGUGGGGAAUCUUGCGCAAUGGCCUAACGGCUGACGCAGCGACGCCGCGUGUGGGAUGAAGCUCCUCGGAGUGUAAACCACUGUUGCCCGGGACGAAUAGCUCGAUUAAUCGAGCCUGACGGUACCGGGUGAGGAAGCACCGGCUAACUCCGUGCCAGCAGCCGCGGUAAUCGCC
RNAcentral lists this ribosomal RNA (522 nucleotides) under uncultured bacterium. RNAcentral's name for it is "bacterial SSU rRNA". It matches the Rfam family "Bacterial small subunit ribosomal RNA", at positions 1 to 526 of the family's 1533-position model. The record is from RNAcentral.